This 1012-nucleotide small RNA is filed under the name Pan troglodytes (chimpanzee). RNAcentral's name for it is "retained intron". Lineage: Eukaryota; Metazoa; Chordata; Mammalia; Primates; Hominidae. The record is from RNAcentral.
GCGGGUAAACAGACAUGGCCGGCGAAGGAGAUCAGCAGGACGCUGCGCACAACAUGGGCAACCACCUGCCGCUCCUGCCUGCAGAGAGUGAGGAAGAAGAUGAAAUGGAAGUUGAAGACCAGGAUAGUAAAGAAGCCAAAAAACCAAACAUCAUAAAUUUUGACACCAGUCUGCCGACAUCACAUACAUACCUAGGCGCUGAUAUGGAAGAAUUUCAUGGCAGGACUUUGCACGAUGACGACAGCUGUCAGGUGAUUCCAGUUCUGCCACAGGUGAUGAUGAUCCUGAUUCCCGGACAGACAUUACCUCUUCAGCUUUUUCACCCUCAAGAAGUCAGUAUGGUGCGGAAUUUAAUUCAGAAAGAUAGAACCUUUGCUGUUCUUGCAUACAGCAAUGUACAGGAAAGGGAAGCACAGUUUGGAACAACAGCAGAGAUAUAUGCCUAUCGAGAAGAACAGGAUUUUGGAAUUGAGAUAGUGAAAGUGAAAGCAAUUGGAAGACAAAGGUUCAAAGUCCUUGAGCUAAGAACACAGUCGGAUGGGUAUAGCCCAGUGGUUUCCAACCUUGCUAUGCAUCAGAAUCACCUGGGAAGCUUUUAAAACUAUAGAAGCUUGAGUUCCAACCUCAUCUCCCAUCUCCAGAGAGUGAUGAGGCUGCAGCAUCUUUUAAAAAUGAUUUUCAGGUGAUUCUAAUGUCUCUCCAGGUUUGAGAACAGUCAUGUAAAUCCAAAGGGAAGUGUUGUUUGGGAUUUGGCUUCUUUAGGAUUGAAGGCCUCUCGGAGCAUAAGAGGAUAGGGAGACCAGAGGCUUGUGAGCUGUUCGUGUGCUUACCAGGACAGCUGUGGUUUUUGUAGCAUUGCUAUGAUGUUUAAAAGCCACACUGGUUACAUCUGCCAACUGCUCCAGCUGAGCUAUAAAAGCCAUUUAUAUUUCGUGUCCCUCUCCAGUGUGAAUUUUAUAUCACCCAGAAAUGCUAUUUACAUAAUAAGUGAUCAAUAAAUACUUGUAGUCUG